This 468-nucleotide ribosomal RNA is filed under the name uncultured bacterium. RNAcentral describes it as "partial 16S ribosomal RNA". It matches the Rfam family "Bacterial small subunit ribosomal RNA", at positions 28 to 507 of the family's 1533-position model. The record is from RNAcentral.
GACGAACGCUGGCGGCGUGCUUAACACAUGCAAGUCGAACGGAAAGGCCCUGCGUGGGUGGGGUGCGCGAGUGGCGAACGGGUGAGUAACACGUGAGUAACCUGCCCUUGACUUUGGGAUAACUUCAUGAAACUGGGGCUAAUACCGGAUAGGAGCUCCUGCUGCAGGGGGGGGGUGGGAUAGUGGCGGCGGUUGGGGAUGGGCCCGCGGCUUAGCAGGUUGUUGGUGGGGUAGUGGCUUACCAAGGCGUCGACGGGGAGCCGGCCUGAGAGGGUGACCGGCCACACUGGGACUGAGAUACGGCCCAGACUCCUACGGGAGGCAGCAGUGGGGAAUAGUGCACAAUGGGCGCAAGCCUGAUGCAGCGACGCCGCGUGAGGGAUGACGGCCUUCGGGUUGUAAACCUCUUUCAAUAGGGACGAAGCGCAAGGGACGGUACCUAUAGAAGAAGCACCGGCCAACUACGUG